UACGUAGGGUGCAAGCGUUAAUCGGAAUUACUGGGCGUAAAGCGUGCGCAGGCGGUUGUGCAAGUCAGAUGUGAAAUCCCCGGGCUCAACCUGGGAACUGCAUUUGUGACUGCACAGCUUGAGUGCGGCAGAGGGGGAUGGAAUUCCGCGUGUAGCAGUGAAAUGCGUAGAUAUGCGGAGGAACACCGAUGGCGAAGGCAAUCCCCUGGGCCUGCACUGACGCUCAGGCACGAAAGCGUGGGGAGCAAACAGG
Molecule: ribosomal RNA, 253 nt
Filed under: uncultured bacterium
Lineage: Bacteria
Description: partial 16S ribosomal RNA
Rfam family: Bacterial small subunit ribosomal RNA
Source: RNAcentral